UCUUUCUUUGACGAUGUUGUCGGCGAGGAAACCCGCUGAACUUAAGCAUAUCAAUAAGCGGAGGAA
Molecule: ribosomal RNA, 66 nt
Filed under: Caulerpa macrodisca
Lineage: Eukaryota; Viridiplantae; Chlorophyta; Ulvophyceae; Bryopsidales; Caulerpaceae
Description: partial 26S ribosomal RNA
Source: RNAcentral